CAGCUCAAGUGGUGACCGCUAUUAUUGGGCCUAAAACGUUCGUAGCCGGCUGAGUGAAUGCUUGGGUAAAUCGUGCCGCUUAACGGUACGAAUUCCGGGUAGACUGCUCAGCUUGAGACCGGGAGAAGCUAGAGGUACUCCUGGGGUAGAGGUGAAAUUCUGUAAUCCUGGGGGGACCACCAGUGGCGAAGGCGUCUAGCUAGAACGGGUCUGACGGUGAGGGACGAAACCCUGGGGCGCAAACCGGAUUAGAUACCCGGGUAGUCCAGGGCGCAAACGCUGCUUGCUUGAUGUUAGCUGGGCUCCGGGCUCAGCUAGUGUCGGAGAGAAGUUGUUAAGCAAGCUGCCUGGGAAGUACGAUCGCAAGAUUGAAACUUAAAGGAAUUGGCGGGGGAGCACAGCAACGGGUGGAGCGUGCGGUUUAAUUGGAUUCAACGCCGGAAAACUCACCGGAGGCGACGGUUACAUGAAGGCCAGGCUGAUGACCUUGCCUGAUUUUCCGAGAGGUGGUGCAUGGCCGCCGUCAGUUCGUACCGUAAGGCGUUCUGUUAAGUCAGAUAACGAACGAGACCCUCAUCCUUAAUUGCUACUGAUAACUUCGGUUGUCAGGCACAUUAAGGAGACCGCUGGCGAUAAGUCAGAGGAAGGCGAGGGCAACGGUAGGUCAGUAUGCCCUGAAUCUUCCGGGCUACACGCGCGCUACAAAGGCCAGGACAAUGGGUGUCAACACCGAAAGGUGACGGUAAUCUCGAAACCUGGUCAUAGUUCGGAUUGAGGAUUGAAACUCAUCCUCAUGAAGCUGGAAUCCGUAGUAAUCGCGGAUCA
Molecule: ribosomal RNA, 825 nt
Filed under: uncultured Thermoplasmata archaeon
Lineage: Archaea; Methanobacteriati; Thermoplasmatota; Thermoplasmata
Description: bacterial SSU rRNA
Rfam family: Archaeal small subunit ribosomal RNA
Source: RNAcentral